AUUAAAGCACAGCUUUAAAAGCUAUGAACUUUUAUUUCAGCAUCAUACGGUUCAUCAGCUCUGCAUCAAACAUUCUUCUUCUCUGGCUUCAACAUGUCU
Molecule: long non-coding RNA, 99 nt
Organism: Melanotaenia boesemani (Boeseman's rainbowfish)
Lineage: Eukaryota; Metazoa; Chordata; Actinopteri; Atheriniformes; Melanotaeniidae
Exons: 4
Source: RefSeq, a predicted model, not a curated record